GUCUACGGCCAUGCCACCCUGAAUGCACCCAAUCUUGUCUGAUCUCAGAAGCUAAGCAGGGUCAAACCUGGUUAGUACUUGGAUGGGAGACCACCUAGGAAGACCUGGUGUUAUAGGCA
RNAcentral lists this ribosomal RNA (119 nucleotides) under Pteropus vampyrus (large flying fox). Lineage: Eukaryota; Metazoa; Chordata; Mammalia; Chiroptera; Pteropodidae. The record is from RNAcentral.